ACUGGAAUCUUCAUAUUUGUUGCC
RNAcentral lists this non-coding RNA (24 nucleotides) under Arabidopsis thaliana (thale cress). Lineage: Eukaryota; Viridiplantae; Streptophyta; Magnoliopsida; Brassicales; Brassicaceae. The record is from RNAcentral.